This is a long non-coding RNA of Magnolia sinica, 610 nucleotides long. RefSeq lists it as uncharacterized. The transcript has 2 exons. The record is from RefSeq and is a predicted model, not a curated record. NCBI's taxonomy places the organism in Eukaryota, Viridiplantae, Streptophyta, Magnoliopsida, Magnoliales, Magnoliaceae.
UUGAGUAUGCCUCACCUAGCUAGAGGGCCAUUUGCCUCUUGCCUUUUAAAACACUGGACUGGUUGAGCUAUGAAAAUAGGUCGUCAUCUUUAGCUUUCAUAAUUAAUAGACAUUUCCAUAUGAACACUAGUACACUUGCAUUUGAUUUAUAAUGUGCCCACAACAUUUUCUAUAGGGUUAAAGCAACUCAACUGUCAACAUAUUCAUUCAUGUGUCUUUUAAAUUCAUUUCUUAUAGGGUCUUUCCAUUUCUUAAUAUCUCUUUUGAACAGGAUGGGAAGAAGAUGUGCUUCAGCUCCAUUCAACAACAACUAUUGGUUUCUUCCCGAAAUCUGGAGUUUUUCACCAAUGGUUAUCGCUACCUCAUUUAGAUUCUUCCUGCUGUCGUUAUUGCUCUGAUGUAUUUAUCAGGCAAAAUCGACAAAUUAGGUAAAGUUUCUUGUACUGUAUCAGUGACCCUUAAAACCUAUACCUAUUGGCCAAUAAAGACUAUUUCAAUUCCAACAAGUGGGACCAUGGCUAGGUGAUCCAGAAUACUUUAUCUGUUGUAUGUUGUCAUACACUAACUAUUCCCCAAAUCACUGAUCUAUAAGACAAUCUUACGCUUUCAA